UACGAAGGGGGCUAGCGUUGUUCGGAAUUACUGGGCGUAAAGCGCGCGCAGGCGGUUUUCCAAGUCAGUGGUGAAAGCCCGGAGCUCAACUCCGGAACUGCCAUUGAAACUGUUAAACUUGAGGACGAGAGAGGUGAGUGGAAUUCCCAGUGUAGAGGUGAAAUUCGUAGAUAUUGGGAAGAACACCGGUGGCGAAGGCGGCGACCUGGUCCUUUACUGACGCUGAGGCGCGAAAGCGUGGGGAGCAAACAGG
Molecule: ribosomal RNA, 253 nt
Filed under: uncultured bacterium
Lineage: Bacteria
Description: partial 16S ribosomal RNA
Rfam family: Bacterial small subunit ribosomal RNA
Source: RNAcentral